UAAAGGUUUAGAGCUGAAAAAAGAUCAACAAAGAAGACUAACAUAUCUCAUCUUACCAUAGAAUGUCUUGGCUAUAACAAGCAGAUGUCAGAAAAAGGUAAAAAGAUAAAAUAUGAAACAAAACAAUCUCCAGAACACAAAGGAUUGCGAUCAAGCACCAGCGCAAAAAAAAAACCAAAAAAGCGGGUUAGAAAAAGAAUAAUCAUCAGGAGAACAAAAUCACCACGAAAUAAAAGGACGCAUGUCUAAAGCACCGGAAGCAC
Molecule: long non-coding RNA, 263 nt
Filed under: Brassica napus (rape)
Lineage: Eukaryota; Viridiplantae; Streptophyta; Magnoliopsida; Brassicales; Brassicaceae
Description: long non-coding RNA (BNAP_LNC016369)
Source: RNAcentral